This 492-nucleotide ribosomal RNA is filed under the name uncultured bacterium. Its description in RNAcentral is "partial 16S ribosomal RNA". It matches the Rfam family "Bacterial small subunit ribosomal RNA", at positions 29 to 507 of the family's 1533-position model. The record is from RNAcentral.
AGUGAACGCUGGCGGUAGGCCUAACACAUGCAAGUCGAACGGCAGCACAGUAAGAGCUUGCUCUUACGGGUGGCGAGUGGCGGACGGGUGAGGAAUACAUCGGAAUCUACUUUUUCGUGGGGGAUAACGUAGGGAAACUUACGCUAAUACCGCAUACGACCUACGGGUGAAAGCAGGGGAUCUUCGGACCUUGCGCGAUUGAAUGAGCCGAUGUCGGAUUAGCUAGUUGGCGGGGUAAAGGCCCACCAAGGCGACGAUCCGUAGCAGGUCGGAGAGGAUGAGUAGCCACACUGGAACUGAGACACGGUCCAGACUCCUACGGGAGGCAGCAGUAGGGAAUAUUGGGCAAUGGGCGCGAGCCUGAUCCAGCCAUACCGCGUGGGUGAAGAAGGCCUUCGGGUUGUAAAGCCCUUUUGUUGGGAAAGAAAAGCAGCAGGUUAAUACCCCGCUGUUCUGACGGUACCCAAAGAAUAAGCAACGGCUAACUUCGUG